Molecule: ribosomal RNA, 156 nt
Filed under: Acidaminococcus fermentans
Lineage: Bacteria; Bacillati; Bacillota; Negativicutes; Acidaminococcales; Acidaminococcaceae
Description: 16S rRNA. Bacterial SSU
Rfam family: Bacterial small subunit ribosomal RNA
Source: RNAcentral
CUGGCUCAGGACGAACGCUGGCGGCGUGCUUAACACAUGCAAGUCGAACGGAGAACUUUCUUCGGAAUGUUCUUAGUGGCGAACGGGUGAGUAACGCGUAGGCAACCUGCCCUCUGGUUGGGGACAACAUUCCGAAAGGGAUGCUAAUACCGAAUG